CUUCAGGAAACUGGGGCUAAUACCGGAUAGGAGCUCCUGCUGCAUGGUGGGGGUUGGAAAGUUUCGGCGGUUGGGGAUGGACUCGCGGCUUAUCAGCUUGUUGGUGGGGUAGUGGCUUACCAAGGCUUUGCGGGUAGCCGGCCUGAGAGGGUGACCGGCCACAUUGGGACUGAGAUACGGCCCAG
Molecule: ribosomal RNA, 185 nt
Filed under: uncultured Actinomycetales bacterium
Lineage: Bacteria; Bacillati; Actinomycetota; Actinomycetes; Actinomycetales
Description: partial 16S ribosomal RNA
Rfam family: Bacterial small subunit ribosomal RNA
Source: RNAcentral